RNAcentral lists this ribosomal RNA (460 nucleotides) under uncultured bacterium. RNAcentral's name for it is "partial 16S ribosomal RNA". It matches the Rfam family "Bacterial small subunit ribosomal RNA", at positions 338 to 795 of the family's 1533-position model. The record is from RNAcentral.
CCUACGGGCGGCAGCAGUGAGGAAUAUUGGUCAAUGGACGAGAGCCUGAACCAGCCAAGUAGCGUGAAGGAUGACGGCCCUCGGGGUUGUAAACUUCUUUUGUCAAGGAAUAAAACGAGGCACGUGUGCCUUUUUGCAUGUACUUUAUGAAAAAGGAUCGGCUAACUCCGUGCCAGCAGCCGCGGUAAUACGGAGGAUCCGAGCGUUAUCCGGAUUUAUUGGGUUUAAAGGGAGCGUAGAUGGGUUGUUAAGUCAGGUGUGAAAGUUUGCGGCUCAACCGUAAAAUUGCAAUUGAUACUGGCAGUCUUGAGUACGGUUGAGGUAAGCGGAAUUCGUGGUGUAGCGGUGAAAUGCUUAGAUAUCACGAAGAACCCCGAUUGCGAAGGCAGCUUACUAAACUGUGACUGACGUUGAGGCUCGAAAGUGUGGGGAUCAAACAGGAUUAGAUACCCGGGUAGUC